AAAUAAUCUCUGGAAAUAGAACAUGAUAGCAACGCAAGGAACUCCUUCCCUUUUGGCACUGGCCGCUCUUCUCGAAAUAAACAGGGCUCACUUUGCACAGGUUGCUCCAGGCACUGAGACAUGAUGAACAUCCUUCUGGAAGUCCUGAUCAGCUCAUACCAGACCAGCACUGCCAGCUCUUAUUUGCCAUGGGGAAGGUAAACGGAUGCAGAGCGGAUUCAGCAACCUGGCAACUGAGCAGCGUUGGGGAGAUGGAGGCUGCAGUUCCACGAUGCAAAGUGUUCGGCUGCGAUGCCAGCUUCCCGCGAUGGCUCUGCUGCUCUUUCUGUGCAUGGGACCGGCCUGCGGUGUGAUAGGGCUGUGCUGGGGCCUGAACAGGGAGCUUGGAGCUGUCUAAAAAAACCCAAAUAAACGGCAAGCCAACUUUUAUUUCUGGUAGUUG
Molecule: long non-coding RNA, 442 nt
Filed under: Struthio camelus australis
Lineage: Eukaryota; Metazoa; Chordata; Aves; Struthioniformes; Struthionidae
Description: lncRNA (ENSSCUG00000011820.1)
Source: RNAcentral